UAAUGAUGGGUAGGGGAGCUUCCCAUACGGGUUGAAGCAUGACCGUAAGGACAUGUGGACAGUAUGGGAGUGAGAAUGUUGGCAUGAGUAGCGAGAUGUGGGUGAGAAUCCCACAGGCCGUAAACCCAAGGUUUCCAGGGGAAGGUUCGUCCGCCCUGGGUUAGUCGGGACCUAAGCUGAGGCCGAAAGGCGUAGGUGAUGGACAACAGGUUGAUAUUCCUGUACUACCGAUAACCGUUUGAGAGAAGGGAUGACACAGUAGGAUAAGCUAAGCACACUGUUGGUUAUGUGUGCCCAAGCAUUGAGGCAGUCAAAGUAGGCAAAUCCGCUUUGAUAAUGCUGGGAUGUGAUGGGGAGCGAAAUUUAGUAGCGAAGUAGCUGAUUUCACACUGUCAAGAAAAGUCUCUAUCGAGGUUAAAGGUACCCGUACCGCAAACCGACACAGGUGGGUGAGGAGAGUAUCCUAAGGCCAGCGAGAGAACUGUUGUUAAGGAACUCGGCAAAAUGACCCCGUAACUUAGGGAUAAGGGGUGCCACCAUCAGGUGGCCGCAGAGAAUAGGCCCAAGCGACUGUUUACCAAAAACAUAGGUUUCUGCUAAGUCGCAAGACGAUGUAUAGGAGCUGACGCCUGCCCGGUGCUGGAAGGUUAAGGGGAUCUGUUAGAGCAAUCGAAGCAGUGAACUUAAGCCCCAGUAAACGGCGGCCGUAACUAUAACGGUCCUAAGGUAGCGAAAUUCCUUGUCGGGUAAGUUCCGACCCGCACGAAAGGCGUAACGAUUUGGGCACUGUCUCAACAACAGACUCGGUGAAAUUGUAAUUCCGGUGAAGAUGCCGGAUACCUGCGACAGGACGGAAAGACCCCAUGGAGCUUUACUGUAGCUUGACAUUGGGUCUUGGUACUACAUGUACAGGAUAGGUGGGAGGCUUUGAAACCAGGACGCCAGUUUUGGCGGAGCCAUCCUUGGGAUACCACCCUUGUAGUACUGGGACUCUAACCAUAGGCCAUGAAUCUGGUCUUGGGACACUGUCAGGUGGGCAGUUUGACUGGGGCGGUCGCCUCCCAAAAGGUAACGGAGGCGCUCAAAGGUUCUCUCAGUACGGUCGGAAAUCGUACGUAGAGUGUAAAGGCAAAAGAGAGCUUGAUUGCAAGACAUACAGGUCGAGCAAGGAUGAAAAUCGGACUUAGUGAUCCGGUGGUUCUGCGUGGAAGGGCCAUCGCUCAACGGAUAAAAGCUACCCUGGGGAUAACAGGCUUAUCUCCCCCAAGAGUCCACAUCGACGGGGAGGUUUGGCACCUCGAUGUCGGCUCAUCACAUCCUGGGGCUGUAGUAGGUCCCAAGGGUUGGGCUGUUCGCCCAUUAAAGUGGUACGCGAGCUGGGUUCAGAACGUCGUGAGACAGUUCGGUCCCUAUCCGUCGCAGGCGUAGGAAAUUUGAGAAGACCUGUCCUUAGUACGAGAGGACCGGGAUGGACG
This 1475-nucleotide ribosomal RNA is filed under the name Clostridioides difficile. Its description in RNAcentral is "partial 23S ribosomal RNA". It matches the Rfam family "Bacterial large subunit ribosomal RNA", at positions 1219 to 2703 of the family's 2925-position model. The record is from RNAcentral. Lineage: Bacteria; Bacillati; Bacillota; Clostridia; Peptostreptococcales; Peptostreptococcaceae.